Molecule: long non-coding RNA, 781 nt
Organism: Paramisgurnus dabryanus
Lineage: Eukaryota; Metazoa; Chordata; Actinopteri; Cypriniformes; Cobitidae
Source: RefSeq, a predicted model, not a curated record
AGAGCACCAAUUAUGCUAAUAAAUUGGCACGUUAGCACGUUAUUGCAAUAUCCCAUAGUACAUACAUGUUAUUAAAACUUGAACUAAUGCAUUGUGAGUCUUAUAAAUUGCUUACAUACCUCACCGAUUUCCCACUGUCUGGAAAACGCUCGGUUUAGUUCCUGUCUCCGCCUCCCAAAAUGUCUAGUGUAAUCGGAUUGGUCAGAUGACUACUCAACUGUUAUUGGUCAACUGGGUUCGGCGUGUGUUUGAAAGGUUACGCCCCUGACUACGCGUGGGUUGACACAGAUUCUGACUGAGAGUCACAGGCAACGUAAACAAGCGCUAUAUUUCUCUAUAAACGAUGGUGUCUGUACUGCCUUACCACUUCAAGCUCGAUCCAGAGAGUUCAGUAGGCCGUUACGAUAUAAACGAUCUCCGUCAAUGAAUGCGAUUGGAUUUAACUUUUUUAGGUGUCCUUAGCUCUGCCAGAAUGCUAAACGAAGACGAAAAUGUGUUGCAAAGACAUCCAAAAGGUUUUAAGGAGAAUGCAACAGGUUCCAGGGCCUCUUACCUGCGUGAUUCAUCAUCCAGGUUUUGCACAAAUUGUCUAAAUCCCUACACACAGAACAUUUAUUGUACCGACUAUAAGCCUUUGAGGUGCAGGACUAGAAUAUGCUUGGAGCUUCCUGAUCGGAAUGUUGGCUUCCGACGACCCCUGCACUGAAGAUGGCAUGCAAUCACGUCCUCCUUUGAAGGUCUCUCAAACUGUGAUGCCAGGUCCAUUGGAAUCGGGGUUUCC